UUUUUUUUUUUUUUUUUUUGUGGUAAAUGAGGAUAAGUUCCAUCUAUGACAUGUUAGGUUUAAGCCUGUGUAGUCUGUCACACACAUGUGAACAGUUGUUUUUAAAGAGUUUGCAUUAGUUCAUUGUGUUUUCCAUUAAAUAUUAAAAAAUUGUUUCUCCUUGAUAAAAAAAAAAUGUUGUAAUGCGCAUUCUUAUUCUACCUAUUUACAGGAGCUUGGCCUGUCCUAAUAGA
RNAcentral lists this unclassified non-coding RNA (233 nucleotides) under Hevea brasiliensis (rubber tree). Lineage: Eukaryota; Viridiplantae; Streptophyta; Magnoliopsida; Malpighiales; Euphorbiaceae. The record is from RNAcentral.